CCCGAAUUAAGGAUAUUUAAAAUUAAAUUUUUUUUAUAUGUAUUAUAUUAUUUAUUAAUUUAAUUUUAGUAGUUAAAAGUUAAUCGUUCCUUAAAUAUAUCUGGUUUUAUAAUAGUUAAAUUAAAUUUAGGUUUAUUUUUUAAGCUUAUAUAAUAGGGGAUAAUCUCUAUUUUUUGUUAAAAUAUAUAUAUUAUUUAUAUUUUUAUUAUCAUUAAUAUUUUGAAUUGAGUUCAUAAUAGAUUGGAAUUUAUUAUUUAUUAUUUUUUUAUUAUUUAUCUUUAUAUUAUAAUUAUUUAAUUAAUUUUUAUUUAUUUUUAUUAAUGAUUAAAUUAGUAUAAUUUUUAUUUAUUUAUUUAUGAAUUCGACAAUUUUAAUUUCCAACUGUUUAUCAAAAACAUUUCUUUAAGAUAAUGUUUAAAGUAGGUUCUGCCCUAUGAUUAAUUUAAAUGGCUGCAGUAUUCUGACUGUGCAAAGGUAGCAUAAUAAUUAGUUUCUUAAUUAGGGACUUGUAUGAAUGAAUUAAUGAGAAAUUUAUUUUAUUAUAACUAUUAUUAUAAUUUAACUUUUGAGUUAAAAUGCUCAAUUAUAUUAUUGGGACGAUAAGACCCUAUAGAACUUAAAAUAAUUAUUUAUUUUUAAUUUAUUUAGUUUUUUUUAUUAAAGUAUUAUAUUUAUUUUUUGUUGGGGUGACAAAUAAAUUUUAACUUUAUUUUUUUAAUUCAUUAAUUUAUGUAUAUUUGAUCCAUUAUGUGUGAUAAUAAGAUUAAGUUACCUUAGGGAUAACAGCGUAAUUUUAAUGGAAAGUUCAUAUUUAUAUUAAAGUUUGCGACCUCGAUGUUGAAUUAAGAUAAGAUUAAGGGGUAGUUUCUUUAAUAUUAGGUCUGUUCGACCUUUAAAUUCUUACAUGAUUUGAGUUCAAACCGGUGUAAGCCAGGUUGGUUUCUAUCUGAUUAUUAUUAAAUCUUUUUAGUACGAAAGGACCAUUAGAUUCUAUUUUAUAGUUUAUAGUGAA
Molecule: ribosomal RNA, 1012 nt
Filed under: Sahlbergotettix salicicola
Lineage: Eukaryota; Metazoa; Arthropoda; Insecta; Hemiptera; Cicadellidae
Description: 16S ribosomal RNA
Rfam family: Archaeal large subunit ribosomal RNA (bases 779-937)
Source: RNAcentral